Molecule: RNA transcript, 2449 nt
Organism: Solanum pennellii
Lineage: Eukaryota; Viridiplantae; Streptophyta; Magnoliopsida; Solanales; Solanaceae
Exons: 6
Source: RefSeq, a predicted model, not a curated record
UUACAAUUUCUCAAACGAAAAAAUAAGUAGUCAAACGCUUAUUUUUCCCCCCAAAUUAGAGAGCGCUGAUAUUAGGGUUUCUUCUCCCAAAUGCCUUAUAAGAAUUCCUCUGAAGUAAUUGCGGCAAUGUUUUCACUCGCUUUUUACUUCCUUCCAUGUUUAAAGGUAUAUAACUCUUCUACCACAUAUAUAUGGGUCCCAGUAGAAGACAGUACCGGUUGAUGUCAGAUGAGGAGUUGAUGAGGCGGCAAUGCUUUAGGUCAUGUUGAACAGCACUGCCUUAUGAGUGUAUUAUCCUCCCUGUGUUUGAAGCAUAACCCAACAGGGAUUAUUCAUUAGGUCUGGUUUGAUGCUUAGGAGCGAAUGUGUGAUAGCUUCUUCGGCAACAGGUUGAGGGAGUGGAUUCAGUAAAGCAGUAGAGGCAUUUUUGUAAGUGCGUCUUUUGCUAGAGUAGAAACAAUUGAUAGAAAAUUAAUGCAAGGCACUUAUGUAAAUGCAUUGCAUGUGUGUGCAUGUGCACUUGCAAUCUUGUGCAUUAUAAUUAAGUCAUUGCCAUAUGAAUAUGGAAGAAACUUAUUUUCAUGUGAUUCACUUGAAGAGAAUACUGCAUUGUGUAUUUGUGUUAAUAAAGUAUUGAUGGUGGUUACAAAGCAAAAGAAACGUUUUCCAGAUCAUUUAAGUCACUAGAAUUUUCUGUUGAUCUAAUGUCUAUAGACAAUAGUUGCAUAGGAAGUGUAGAUUCUAUUUCGUGUGAAGGUUGUUGAUGGAGGCAGUUCAGGUUAACAUGCAUGGACGCAAGAGAGUCCCAUCUAUCUAAUUUUGUUCCGAUGUCAUUACUGUAUUUAAAUGGGAAUUCUGAAGUUACUAUCUUGAUUAUAAGUGGUGACAUAAUUAAAUUGCUUCAUUUAUAUGCUGGAACUAUAAAUCUUACAUAAAAGCACUGAUUACUUAUAAGGUUUGUUCAUUUAUGUAUGUAAAAUGGAGAAUUUUAGCUCAUUGAGUGUAAAGGUAUUGUUCCAGUCUAAGUACAUUACCAUGAAAUGUAGCUAGUUUGAGCUUAUAUUAUCUCCUGUAUAUACAUUUAUUUCUUUACAUGUUGACUGAGAACUCCCUUCUAAUUAAAGUGAUGAAUAUGCGGCUUCUUGUGAUGGAAUAAACAAUGUUCAGGCUAAAAUGAAAAUUUCCUCAGCUUUUAUAUUUGGUUCUGUCAUCUGGAGGAUGGUAAGAUCACAUACUUCAUACAAUAAAGAUUAUGGUAUAUUUUGUAUCAGGUCCUAUUAAUAAAGAUUAGUGUAGCAUCAACAUGUACUUUUGAUUGCACGAGAAUCGGAAGAAGAGUAAUUUUUCUUUUCCUCAAACUUUUUUUUACUAAAAAGCAAUAUGUUCUUAUACUUUAAUGAUAAACCAAUUGCAAAGCCUUUAGUCUGUGGACAAGUAACAAAAUUUGGGUGAAGAUGCCAUACUUCCAGCCAGUAAAAAUAUCAACCAUCAAAUUACAAAGUGCCGGAUAGAUGAGGACAUAAGAUUCCUAAUGAAUUUCCUUUCAAUUUUCUUAUGUUCAUGCUUAGGUUGUAGGAAAAACAGUGCUAUGGAUGCUCUCUAAAAACUGUUUGUUUCAUCCCCAAGGAACGGGAAAUUUUUGAUUAAGAGUUAUGUAAAAAGGUCUUAUGUUGUGGGAUCAUAUUUGAUGUCCAAGUUGAUCGUUUAUAUUUCUAUAGAUAAGUAUUAAGAAUUACUUUUCUCUCUGAUUUAUGUGCCUGAAUUAUGUUGUUUCAUCAUAUGUACUCUUCUUCUGAUUUAUGUGCUUGAGUUAUGUUGUUUCAUCAUGUGCUUAGGCAUGAUUUUUUUUAGAGUUGCGGUUAUUUUUGAAAAUUAUGGGUGUUUCUUACUUUCGCGUUUUUGUUGUUAAUAUUGAAUUAUGAUGAGAUUUAGGUGUUCCAGUUGCAUUGUUUGUCAAAAAGAGUGGUGGGUUGGCGUUCUUCAAAGUGUAGUACUUAUGGAGAAGGGAAUUGUUAUUAUCAGGGUGGUCCUUCUCCAGUGAUACCUCCCCCCACAUAUGUUGCUCCCCUGCCUCGCAAAAACAGAGGUUUUCUUAAGGGAUUUAUUCCUGGGUGAUGCAGUGCUGAAAACUUCAGGAAGAUUAGUUGUAUCAAUCAAGAAGGGUCAGUGCAUCCCAAGCCUCUCGAUGAUAUGACCUGAAUAUGCAGGUGAUGAAAUUUGAAUAAUGUUCCCAGGUCAACCCAAUAUAUUCAGGCGAAUAAUAUUAGUGUAUUUGAAUUAUUAUUAUAUAUGUUUGGAUACAUUGUGAAAUUUAGCACAAUUGCUAGUACACCACUUUAAGAUACUCCUUUCAAUAUAUGUAGUACAAGACAUCAUUUUUUAAGUUUAUUGUAAAUCUAUAUAUUGAAUUGUAAAUUAGUUAAUUUGAUGUUUGAGAUUAUUUAUAUUA